Long non-coding RNA from Crotalus tigris (Tiger rattlesnake), 2938 nucleotides. RefSeq lists it as uncharacterized. Lineage: Eukaryota; Metazoa; Chordata; Lepidosauria; Squamata; Viperidae. The record is from RefSeq and is a predicted model, not a curated record. The transcript is spliced from 3 exons.
GAGUCAUAAAAGAGCCAAGGUUGCCUACCCCUGGUCUAGUGGUUAAGGCAUCGGGCCAGAGACCAGUAAAACGAUCCUAGUCCUGUUUUUGGCAUGACGGCUGGCUGGGUGACUGUGAGUCAGUUCCUCCCUCUGCACAGCCCAGCUGUGAAGAAAAUAGGAGGCGGAAGUUGUAUUAGAUAUGUUCAUUGCCCUGAGUUAUUUAUGAAAAAGGAUUUUUUAAAAAAACAAACUUCUCAAAUGGUCCAAAAAUCUGGCUAGACCUUUUGGUGAUGUAAUUCAACGGAAGGCCGUUGAAAGUGUGGGAAGCAGAAUUGCAGCUCCAUCAGAGGAUCAGUUCAAAUAACCACACUUGGUUUGAUCUAAAAAGAAGUGAGGGACUAAGACGGGGGUAGGCAACCUUGGCUCUUUUAUGACUCGUGGACGUCAACUCCCAGAAUUCCUGAGCCAGCCGUGCUGAGGGGAAAGGGAGAGGUUUCCAAGGUGAGCCAUGCUGGUUCAGGAAUUCUGGGAAUUGAAGUCCACGAGUCAUAAAAGAGCCAAGGUUGCCUACCCCUGGACUAAGAGAAACAGAUCUCUGUAGCUUCUUCAUCAGAGUCCCAAAGCAGCUGUUGCUAGAACGAAAGAGGAGUCCUUUCUUCCCUGACCCUUCAGCCAUUCGCCCAGUGCAAAAAAAAUAGUUGGUUCACCAGCUCCAAAACUCUGUGGCUUCUUUAAUAGGUUAAAAGAGAAUCCCUCAGAGCCAAAGCUCAAACCUGCAGUUAGCAAUCCUGACUUGCAUGUUGGUUAUUGAUGCAUGUCAGUCAUGUAAAAAUAAAGUGAUUCCCUUCUGGUCUGCUUUCUCAUUUUUGCACCCAUUUUAGAUCAGCCAGUUGGCAAGAACAGGAGACGUAGUUCUGCAUAGCUAGAGGGCACCGCUCAUGGACCAUCCCAAUAUCUUUCAAAAGGCAAGCUGUCUUAACAGGUUUCUUUCUAGGAAAAAGCACAUCCUUGAUUUAAGAAGUGUCAAAUCCGGGGGUUAAUUAAAUCUUGAAAUACGUUGCCCCAUUGAUACGUUGUCAUUGUUAGAUAUUCCCCUAUCUAGUUUCCUUAAUAUGGAUGCCAUGGGGUUGAUAUUAGUAGUAGUACCAUUAGUUCAAGUAUGAAAUCAUUUUUAUGCAAUUGUUUUGAGGGUCAAUGAGCAAUCUGAUAAAUUCAUAAAGGGGUUUGAGUUGAAGAGUUUGAGGAACCCUGCCCCAAGUACUUUUAAAAACCCUAAAUUUAUGCAGUAACUAGCGCCUUGACUAUUGUAACAGUAAACAAAGGUCAAACAACACUAUUACUGGGCUGAAUAAUAAUUCAAAAUAAACAACGUUGAUCAUCAAUGGUCCUCUGCAUUUUACCUAGCUGAAUUGACCGGUUUCUUUACAAAAUAAGGUACAAAGUUGCUUUCUGUUCUCGUGCAGCUGCUUUUUCACCACGAAAGCUACACAAACAAGCCUUGUUUUUCUUUUUCUGAUUGAGAUGUUUGCAAGAACAAAAAAGGGGAAAUCUGUACUAAACCUUCCAAAGGUGCACAAAAGAUUCUGCAGUGGCAGUCAAGUAUAUCUGAAUGCCAAAAUUUUUGCACAUGAACGCCUGGUGUCUGUGAAUGAAAUUUCUACAGCUUUGCAAAAAAAUUUGGAGACGAGUGAGGAUUAAACAUCCUGUCAAAACAGCCCAGGAUCAUCUGACACUUUACGACCCCUUGCAAUCUGGCAAUUGCUGUGAAGGCCUAAUGUACAAGAAUCCUGUAAUCCCAGUCCAACUUCCUCUCCUUCAACCUGGUGUCCUUCUGUUUCUCAAGUAAGUGAUAAUUUUGUGGGUUGUAGUUCCAACAUCUCUAAAAGGCACCAAAUCUACAAAAUUCAGGUGAAUUAAAAAAAAAAAAAUCUCGUUCACUCUAUGCAGUAUAUGUGGGUGUGGCUUAAAUCUUGGUAUUAGGGUGGCAGAAUAUGCCCACCUGUUAAUGAUGCAAUGCACAGAGAGGAGUCUCUUAGGAAAAAAAAAAGAAUUAGGCAUAAAAAAAAGAAUUAGGCAUGUCCUGCUUUAGCACCAGAAACAUGGCUGAAUACCCAAGGAGUCCUGUCAUUGGCUGAUGAAUCUGCUAGUUUCACUCUCUCCCACAGAUUGGAAUCUUGAGCUUUUUUGCUCUCAUUCAUGAAAGAAUUUGCAAAGAUGGCCCAGUUCUGAUCAAAGAAUAAUGAUAAUGUUUUUAAUGGAUUUUACUGUGGAAAUGGUCGAUGGCAGUAUAUGGUUUUAAAAAAGGACAAAUGCCUUUGUCAUUCUGUUUUGCUUUACGUGGUUUCUCUUAGAUGGAGACCUUCACGGAACCUCCCAAAACAAUUGUAUUUGGUUGAUUGGUGGGACUAAUCCAAACAUAUUCUUCUCUCCCUAACAUCCCGUCAGGCAUAGAGGGUUAAAAACUAGCAAAAAGAAGUUGUUAUAAGAAAAAUUACCUGGAAUGGUAUGAAUUUGAGACUUAGGGGUGAAUCUUGAAUUAAGCUUAUUGAUAUGUUGGAAGAGUUUUAUGCAGUGUGUAGACGUAUCCUAUAUGAAAUGAUAAAUUUAACAGAUUUUGGUCUGAAGAAAUUUAUAAAUACUUCUGCUUGCCUUUAACUAUCAUCAAUGAAAAAUCGAUACGUAGCUGACUGGUAGAUAGAUUCCAUAUACCUGCAGAACAAGGGAAGGUGCAAGGCUUCAUUUGUGGUUGUCACUAUCUUGACUCUUGAUCAAUCCAUCUUGACUCUUGAGCAAGUAAACAGCCCAACUAAUGAACAGCCAAGAUCACUCCCACCAACAUUAGCAGGGCAAGCCACUCGAAUAUAAACUGAGAACAAACUCCACUCCUUACUAGCACUGAUGAUGUUACUUAGUUGGGUCAUGAAACAUCAGCAAGAAAAUCAUCAAGCUCAGAGAG